This 823-nucleotide ribosomal RNA is filed under the name uncultured bacterium. RNAcentral describes it as "bacterial SSU rRNA". It matches the Rfam family "Bacterial small subunit ribosomal RNA", at positions 73 to 901 of the family's 1533-position model. The record is from RNAcentral.
GAAGUCUUCGGAUUUUGAGACCGGCGCACGGGUGCGUAACGCGUAUGCAAUCUACCUUUUACAGAGGGAUAGCCCAGAGAAAUUUGGAUUAAUACCUCAUAGUAUGCAGAGUUGGCAUCAACACUGCAUUAAAGUCACAACGGUAAAAGAUGAGCAUGCGUCCCAUUAGCUAGUUGGUAAGGUAACGGCUUACCAAGGCUACGAUGGGUAGGGGUCCUGAGAGGGAGAUCCCCCACACUGGUACUGAGACACGGACCAGACUCCUACGGGAGGCAGCAGUGAGGAAUAUUGGACAAUGGGCGCAAGCCUGAUCCAGCCAUGCCGCGUGCAGGAUGACGGUCCUAUGGAUUGUAAACUGCUUUUAUACGAGAAGAAACACUGCUUCGUGAAGCAGCUUGACGGUAUCGUAAGAAUAAGGAUCGGCUAACUCCGUGCCAGCAGCCGCGGUAAUACGGAGGAUCCAAGCGUUAUCCGGAAUCAUUGGGUUUAAAGGGUCCGUAGGCGGUUUAAUAAGUCAGUGGUGAAAGCCCAUCGCUCAACGGUGGAACGGCCAUUGAUACUGUUAGACUUGAAUUAUUAGGAAGUAACUAGAAUAUGUAGUGUAGCGGUGAAAUGCUUAGAGAUUACAUGGAAUACCAAUUGCGAAGGCAGGUUACUACUAAUGGAUUGACGCUGAUGGACGAAAGCGUGGGUAGCGAACAGGAUUAGAUACCCUGGUAGUCCACGCCGUAAACGAUGGAUACUAGCUGUUGGAAGCAAUUUCAGUGGCUAAGCGAAAGUGAUAAGUAUCCCACCUGGGGAGUACGUUCGCAAGAAUGAAACU